CCUACGGGAGGCAGCAGUAGGGAAUCUUCCACAAUGGGCGAAAGCCUGAUGGAGCAACGCCGCGUGGGUGAAGAAGGUCUUCGGAUCGUAAAACCCUGUUGUUAGAGAAGCAAGUGCGUGAGAGUAAAUGUUCACGUUUCGACGGUAUCUAACCAGAAAGCCCCGGCUAACUACGUGCCAGCAGCCGCGGUCAUACGUAGGUGGCACGCGUUAUCCGGUUUUAUUGGGCGUAAAGGGAACGCAGGCGGUCUUUUAAGUCUGAUGUGAAAACCUUGGGCUUAACCGGAGUAGUGCAUUGGAAACUGGGAGACUGGAGUGCAGAAGAGGAGAGUGGAACUCGAUGUGUAGCGGUGAAAUGCGUAGAUAUAAGGAAGAACACCAGUGGCGAAGGCGGCUCUCGGGUCUGUAACUGACGCUGAGGUUCGAAAGCGUGGGUAGCAAACAGGAUUAGAUACCCGAGUAGUC
Molecule: ribosomal RNA, 465 nt
Filed under: uncultured bacterium
Lineage: Bacteria
Description: partial 16S ribosomal RNA
Rfam family: Bacterial small subunit ribosomal RNA
Source: RNAcentral